RNAcentral lists this ribosomal RNA (253 nucleotides) under uncultured bacterium. RNAcentral describes it as "partial 16S ribosomal RNA". It matches the Rfam family "Bacterial small subunit ribosomal RNA", at positions 524 to 776 of the family's 1533-position model. The record is from RNAcentral.
UACGUAGGUGGCGAGCGUUGUCCGGAAUUACUGGGUGUAAAGGGCGCGUAGGCGGGUGCCUAAGUCAGACGUGAAAUGUCGAGGCUCAACCUCGGAACUGCGUUUGAAACUGGGUGUCUUGAGUGCCGGAGAGGGAAGCGGAAUUCCUAGUGUAGCGGUGAAAUGCGUAGAUAUUAGGAGGAACACCAGUGGCGAAGGCGGCUUUCUGGACGGUAACUGACGCUGAGGCGCGAAAGCGUGGGGAGCAAACAGG